GAAGUUAGGUAGGCCUCCGAUUCUCCCACAUCACUUGGAAGAUCAACUCGUGUCAAACGACUGUAGUGGAGAGGCGUGGAUAAUGUGCCACCCUUGCAGACGACGGGCACAUGUUGCGUGUGCAGGUGCUGAAAAAGAAUGUUGGAUUUGUGAUUGCUGUUUGUCGACAAAAAUCCAAAUAUAUUUCAAAUAAAGUUAUGUAUUCCAUAUUAGGACCACUUUUUUUAAAUUCCAAAAUAUAUAUAGUUUUGAUUUUUUUUCUUUUUGGGGAGAUUGGAUUUGUCCAGACACACACAAUUUUCAGAUGUUGUUGCUAGCUUACCUUCAAAUCUGUGUGCGAAAAAUUAUGAUUUUUGCACAAAAAAUUAAUCAUCCAGAAGGUAAAAUAAAAAUGGUGUUCCAUAUUUGGCAUACUUCCUAUAAUAUUGGCAACACUGCGAGAAACUAUAAAUUGUAUAAUAUUCGACUUCUAUUAUCAGCUGGUCAAUAAGUUCUAAUUCAGUU
RNAcentral lists this long non-coding RNA (504 nucleotides) under Androctonus crassicauda. The record is from RNAcentral. Lineage: Eukaryota; Metazoa; Arthropoda; Arachnida; Scorpiones; Buthidae.